UUUUGCUGACUUUUGCGCGAGGGACUCGAUCUUAUCAAUCACACUGAUAAAAUCCAGUCAACAUUGCAUUGGUUGCUCGUUGGAAGGUAAUUUUCGCACCAAAACAAUGAAUCUGAGGGAUAAGGCCAAAACAUGCUUGCGUGCUACGAACUGUUUCAGGAUCUGGUCUUAAUGCAACCCGUCAUAAAUUAUCAUAAAGCGAAUCCUAAUCUUAUGAUCUUUUAUGCCUUCCAACAUACUAGAUGACGCUACCAUGGCGACAUGACAAGAUUGCUGCUAUGAUUAGAUCGGAUCUGGAUCGAGGGGUACUCCUUUUUGCUUUCUUUUUGACCCCCUACUCUGGAUCAUCUUAAUUCCAUGGUUUGUCAAAUCUCCAGGCUGGACAGACAAUGACUUAAUUCAAAAAUAAUAAAAUAAAAAAAAAUAUAAAGUACUAAACAACGACUUUCUUUCAUAUCCAACCAACUUAGAUCCAAUCUGAUUCAUUUUUAAGGACAUGUGGGGUUAGAUCGGAUUCUAAAAUUGAAUCUAUUCCAUUUUCUAGGUCAGGUCUAAGUUUACUAAAUUCAGACCUGCCACGAUUCGACCCAUUUGAAAUUUAGGUAAUUUUGAAUUUUCAAUCUUACGACCCGACUCGACCUGACCCAAAUCUAUAAAGUUAUUUGGGCUCACGGAGGUGCAAACACAAGUUCU
This 693-nucleotide long non-coding RNA is filed under the name Phoenix dactylifera (date palm). RNAcentral describes it as "long non-coding RNA (PDAC_LNC019022)". The record is from RNAcentral. Lineage: Eukaryota; Viridiplantae; Streptophyta; Magnoliopsida; Arecales; Arecaceae.